This 275-nucleotide RNase P RNA is filed under the name Tolypothrix sp. T3-bin4. Its description in RNAcentral is "partial RNase P RNA component class A". It matches the Rfam family "Bacterial RNase P class A", at positions 132 to 367 of the family's 367-position model. From Rfam's summary of the family: Ribonuclease P (RNase P) is a ubiquitous endoribonuclease, found in archaea, bacteria and eukarya as well as chloroplasts and mitochondria. Its best characterised activity is the generation of mature 5'-ends of tRNAs by cleaving the 5'-leader elements of precursor-tRNAs. The record is from RNAcentral. Lineage: Bacteria; Bacillati; Cyanobacteriota; Cyanophyceae; Nostocales; Tolypothrichaceae.
GUAGGGAAAAUGCCUACUGCCCACUGCCCACUCCCCGCUCACAGGUAAGGGUGCAAAGGUGCGGUAAGAGCGCACCAGCAGCAUCGAGAGGUGCUGGCUCGGUAAACCCCGGUUGGGAGCAAGGUAUGAAAGGAACUACGGUUGGUCUUUUACCAGUUCCUGCUCACGAAACCGCUUGAGGCGUCUGGUAACAGGCGUCCCAGAUAGAUAACUGCCCUCCUAGUAGCGUUAAGCUGCUGUGGAGAACAGAACCCGGCUUACGUCCGACUCUUUCC